This 333-nucleotide unclassified non-coding RNA is filed under the name Basidiomycota sp. RNAcentral's name for it is "partial contains small subunit ribosomal RNA, internal transcribed spacer 1, and 5.8S ribosomal RNA". The stretch from base 1 to 47 matches the Rfam family "Eukaryotic small subunit ribosomal RNA", at positions 1785 to 1831 of the family's 1831-position model. The record is from RNAcentral. Lineage: Eukaryota; Fungi; Basidiomycota.
AAAGUCGUAACAAGGUAUCCGUAGGUGAACCUGCGGAUGGAUCAUUAACGUAUCUAUCCCCAUUUUCCCGUUUCCUUGCGCUCUCUCAAGGAGCAAAAGGGCCGGGAAAAUACCAACCCCUUGUGAACCUUUUUAAUCGUCUCUGGCAGGGGAGGCCUCCCUUUUUGGGAGGUGCUCCUGCCGAAAGGGCUUUCCUUUCCCGGGACUUUUUCUGUCCUGGAAAAGGUUAGUUCUUUAAAUGAACCACUUUAAAAUCUUUGUCGAGAAGUCUAAAACGAAUUGUUGUCUUUUUAAUACAAAAAACAACUUUCGGCAACGGAUCUCUUGGCUCUC